AGCGAACGCUGGCGGCAGGCCUAACACAUGCAAGUCGAACGAACCUUUCGGGGUUAGUGGCGGACGGGUGAGUAACACGUGGGAACGUGCCUUUAGGUUCGGAAUAACUCAGGGAAACUUGUGCUAAUACCGAAUGUGCCCUUCGGGGGAAAGAUUAAUCGCCUUUAGAGCGGCCCGCGUCUGAUUAGCUAGUUGGUUGAGGUAAUGGCUCACCAAGGCGACGAUCAGAAGCUGGUCUGAGAGGAUGAUCAGCCACAUUGGGACUGAGACACGGCCCAAACUCCUACGGGAGGCAGCAGUGGGGAAUCUUGCGCAAUGGGCGAAAGCCUGACGCAGCCAUGCCGCGUGAAUGAUGAAGGUCUUAGGAUUGUAAAAUUCUUUCACCGGGGACGAUAAUGACGGUACCCGGAGAAGAAGCCCCGGCUAACUUCGUG
Molecule: ribosomal RNA, 434 nt
Filed under: uncultured bacterium
Lineage: Bacteria
Description: partial 16S ribosomal RNA
Rfam family: Bacterial small subunit ribosomal RNA
Source: RNAcentral